GAUGAACGCUGGCGGCGUGCUUAACACAUGCAAGUCGAACGGGAAUUAUUUUAUUGAAACUUCGGUCGAUUUAAUUUAAUUCUAGUGGCGGACGGGUGAGUAACGCGUGGGUAACCUGCCUUAUACAGGGGGAUAACAGUCAGAAAUGGCUGCUAAUACCGCAUAAGCGCACAGAGCGGCAUGGCUCAGGGGGAAAAACUCCGGUGGUAUAAGAUGGACCCGCGUUGGAUUAGCUGGUUGGUGGGGUAACGGCCCACCAAGGCGACGAUCCAUAGCCGGCCUGAGAGGGUGAACGGCCACAUUGGGACUGAGACACGGCCCAGACUCCUACGGGAGGCAGCAGUGGGGAAUAUUGCACAAUGGGGGAAACCCUGAUGCAGCGACGCCGCGUGAAGGAAGAAGUAUCUCGGUAUGUAAACUUCUAUCAGCAGGGAAGAUAGUGACGGUACCUGACUAAGAAGCCCCGGCUAACUACGUG
This 478-nucleotide ribosomal RNA is filed under the name uncultured bacterium. RNAcentral's name for it is "partial 16S ribosomal RNA". It matches the Rfam family "Bacterial small subunit ribosomal RNA", at positions 28 to 507 of the family's 1533-position model. The record is from RNAcentral.